GCAUAUCAAUAAGCGGAGGAAAAGAAACCAACAGGGAUUGCCCUAGUAACGGCGAGUGAAGCGGCAACAGCUCAAAUUUGAAAUCUGGCCCUUGUGGUCCGAGUUGUAAUUUGUAGAGGAUGCUUUUGGUGAGGUACCUUCCGAGUUCCCUGGAACGGGACGCCAUAGAGGGUGAGAGCCCCGUCUGGUUGGAUACCGAGCCUCUGUAAAGCUCCUUCGACGAGUCGAGUAGUUUGGGAAUGCUGCUCUAAAUGGGAGGUAUAUGUCUUCUAAAGCUAAAUAUUGGCCAGAGACCGAUAGCGCACAAGUAGAGUGAUCGAAAGAUGAAAAGCACUUUGAAAAGAGGGUUAAAUAGUACGUGAAAUUGUUGAAAGGGAAGCGCUUGUGACCAGACUUGGGCUUGGUUAAUCAUCCAGGGUUCUCCCUGGUGCACUUGGCCAGCCCAGGCCAGCAUCAGUUUGUCGCGGGGGAUAAAGGCGUCGGGAAUGUGGCUCCCCCGGGAGUGUUAUAGCCCUUCGUGUAAUACCCUGCUUUAGACUGAGGUUCGCGCAUCUGCAAGGAUGCUGGCGUAAUGGUCAUCAGCGACCCGUCUUGAAACACGGACCAAGGA
RNAcentral lists this ribosomal RNA (610 nucleotides) under Tubercularia vulgaris. Its description in RNAcentral is "eukaryotic LSU rRNA". It matches the Rfam family "Eukaryotic large subunit ribosomal RNA", at positions 38 to 672 of the family's 3401-position model. Lineage: Eukaryota; Fungi; Ascomycota; Sordariomycetes; Hypocreales. The record is from RNAcentral.